UCCCCGGUGAUGUAACGGCAACAUGCUUGACUGUUAAUCAAGUCUUGGUGGUUCGAAUCCACCCCGGGGAG
RNAcentral lists this transfer RNA (71 nucleotides) under Thermoleophilaceae bacterium. Its description in RNAcentral is "tRNA-Asn". It matches the Rfam family "tRNA". From Rfam's summary of the family: Transfer RNA (tRNA) molecules are approximately 80 nucleotides in length. Their secondary structure includes four short double-helical elements and three loops (D, anti-codon, and T loops). Further hydrogen bonds mediate the characteristic L-shaped molecular structure. tRNAs have two regions of fundamental functional importance: the anti-codon, which is responsible for specific mRNA codon recognition, and the 3' end, to which the tRNAs corresponding amino acid is attached (by aminoacyl-tRNA synthetases). tRNAs cope with the degeneracy of the genetic code in two manners: having more than one tRNA (with a specific anti-codon) for a particular amino acid; and 'wobble' base-pairing, i.e. permitting non-standard base-pairing at the 3rd anti-codon position. The record is from RNAcentral. Lineage: Bacteria; Bacillati; Actinomycetota; Thermoleophilia; Thermoleophilales; Thermoleophilaceae.